Long non-coding RNA from Panicum virgatum (switchgrass), 555 nucleotides. RefSeq lists it as uncharacterized. Lineage: Eukaryota; Viridiplantae; Streptophyta; Magnoliopsida; Poales; Poaceae. The transcript is spliced from 3 exons. The record is from RefSeq and is a predicted model, not a curated record.
CUCCAGGCUUCGCCUUCUGCUGAUGGCUAUGAUUCACUCUUCGAUGGGGAUGGUUGUUCGCCGUGCCCUCUCUGUGAGUGCCCCCCAGCUGCUGCCUCGCUAUAACCAUGGUGGCCCUGCUACCAACUCCACAGCAGUUGAGCAUCUGGUCAAGAAAACAGAGGAAGUGGCUAAGAAAGAGGUGUUGUUUGAGUAUGUUGACAGCUUGGUUAAGGAACAAAAGGAGUACCCAAAACCAGUGUUGAAGGGAGCAGGGAUCCCAUGGUUUCAAGCUGUGGUGAUUAUUGCUUCGUUCAUGGCAGGAUAUCAUGUGGGGCUGGACGAAGGAACAGAAGCAACCUUUCUGAGACUUGGUAGAAAGCGACUGGAUUGAGGUAGGAUGGUCCAGUGGAGGGGGAUGAUGGUAAUUUAACCAAGUUUGAUGUAUCCUGACUAUCGCUAAUGCUGCUACUAUCACGUGUGGUCUAGUGGAGAUUGUUGCUGACUAAAAUGCAAAUGUACCUUGCUGCUUGCCAUUAAUGUGAUCAUCUGUCCAAAUCCUUGGAACAUGUGGAA